RNAcentral lists this ribosomal RNA (468 nucleotides) under uncultured bacterium. RNAcentral describes it as "partial 16S ribosomal RNA". It matches the Rfam family "Bacterial small subunit ribosomal RNA", at positions 28 to 507 of the family's 1533-position model. The record is from RNAcentral.
GACGAACGCUGGCGGCGUGCUUAACACAUGCAAGUCGAACGGAAAGGCCCUGCUUUUGUGGGGUGCUCGAGUGGCGAACGGGUGAGUAACACGUGAGUAACCUGCCCUUGACUUUGGGAUAACUUCAGGAAACUGGGGCUAAUACCGGAUAGGAGCUCCUGCUGCAUGGUGGGGGUUGGAAAGUUUCGGCGGUUGGGGAUGGACUCGCGGCUUAUCAGCUUGUUGGUGGGGUAGUGGCUUACCAAGGCUUUGACGGGUAGCCGGCCUGAGAGGGUGACCGGCCACAUUGGGACUGAGAUACGGCGCAGACUCCUACGGGAGGCAGCAGUGGGGAAUAUUGCACAGUGGGCGGAAGCCUGAUGCAGCAACGCCGCGUGCGUGAUGACGGCCUUCGUGUUGUAAACCGCUUUCGCCUGUGACGAAGCGUGAGUGACGGUAAUGGGUAAAGAAGCACCGGCUAACUACGUG